CUCUCUCUCUCUCUCUCUCUCCCAAACAAUCUCCGCCACAUUUUAUUUUAGAUCAUUUUACAUUGCUGGGACCAGAUUCCCACUAAGAUGCAGCUUUAGACAUAUCUUUGCUGGAUCUGUUGUACUUCAUGUGACUCUUGACAAGCUGCCCAGCUGCAAUGGCAGACAUCAAGGAGAGCUCACCAGCCAAAACUGAACCAGCUACGAUGGCAGCAAGGAGCCUUGAGUUUGAUCCUGGCGACUCUUUGUUUGCACCCUUCACCCCAAGCAAAUUGAGACAAGCAGACUGAGAUGCAAGUUGAGUUCCACCUCCGACUGUACCCACCUCAAUGGAGGGCAUGGUCACAGAGAUAUGGAGAUCCUUUCCAUCAUUGACAGCUUCCAUCAUGGUAAUGCAAUGAGAACUCUCAACAUUCUGUGCUGGAUCCUGGCCAGUGGCAAUAAAGAUUGCAGAUACGAUGUUGCCUGCAUGGGCAUUAAAUCCACCCAAAGCACCAGCAACAGCAGAACCAGCAAGAUUCUUGAGCAUGUUAAGCUCCACUAGGGAGGCCACAUUGGUUUUCAACACCUUCUUCACCACCUCUUCCUUGAUAAUUGCCUCACAAACAACUGAUUUGCCACGUCCUUCAAUCCAAUUUACAGCAGCAGGCUUCUUAUCCGAACAAAAAUUUCCUAGCCAAUUGAGACACAUAUAAAUGAUAAAUCCCAUGAACAAAGAAACAGUAUUGCAAGUUUUAACGAAGCAACACCAAUCCUCAAAUAAUUCCAUCCAAACAAAGAAAUUAAAAUAUACAAUGGAAAAAGGACUUGCAUCCAACAAAUUGAAAGAGAAACCAAAGAACAAUCUAGGAGUAAGAAAUUAUGCGGAUAACUACCACUUUUCCUAAACUUGCCAAAAAAAGUGAUGUACAAAUGUGAUUGUUGUAUUAUGUGUAUCAUUCAAAAUUGCAAUAUUCAACCGAAAAUUCGCAAGAACCUUUUAGCUAAUUGCAGGACAAAGGCAACUUCCCCAAACAGUGAUAUAAACUUCAAAGAUUAAAAAGGAAUUUACCUGAGAUUCCAAUGAC
This 1067-nucleotide unclassified non-coding RNA is filed under the name Hevea brasiliensis (rubber tree). The record is from RNAcentral. Lineage: Eukaryota; Viridiplantae; Streptophyta; Magnoliopsida; Malpighiales; Euphorbiaceae.